This 1237-nucleotide long non-coding RNA is filed under the name Heterocephalus glaber (naked mole-rat). RNAcentral's name for it is "lncRNA (ENSHGLG00100045542.1)". Lineage: Eukaryota; Metazoa; Chordata; Mammalia; Rodentia; Bathyergidae. The record is from RNAcentral.
GGUUACUCCGGGUCGAAACCCGAGCAACCCCUGUCGCGACCCCCACUGGCUGCAGAGGGACAGCAGCGGUGCGGGAGGAGGCCAGGGUCCAGCGGGGUCGGGGACCCGCCCGGGAGAGGCCUCGGCCGAGGGAGUGUUAGAGCCGCUGUUCCCUGUCUCAGUCCGUUGGUCCUGGUGCAGCAAUAUCCAUCCCGUGAGCCCGCUUGGAACCUGUGCCCGACGCUUCCCAGUUCCUUCUUGCAGACUCUUAAACUGCACGGUCUGUUGUGGCAUCAAGAAGGCUGCUCGAGAUGAGGUCAAGAGAGUAGCUGCUAAUGAUGAACUGAACUUUUGGAAGGAUUGUCCAUUACAACUGCCUGAUAUUUCAACUACAGAAACCCACUCCUCCAGAAUGACACCAUCAGCCACUUUAAGAACAUUGCUCUUGGAGAAUGUCCUCAAGUGUUCAGUAUUGUCUAGCUGUUUCUGAAGUUUUUAUCCACCCAGAAGCUAGGAUCAAUCCUAGGCAGCAGGACGAAGGGCAGCGGUGGGAAGCAGUGGAGGAUGGGAAGCAUCGCACACGGAGACCCUUGGAGACAACCCAUUCCCCCAGCGGACUCACAGUGGCCCAGGUGGCCACGCCUAGAGAGACCAGUAGUUACUCAGAGUACAAGACAUAAACCAAAAAGAUUUUUACAAAACAGAAACAGCAUCAGCGAAAUCUAACAGAAAGACCUCUGGGGAAGAGAACUCAGGAGGCUCAGAAUCUGGUGACUGCUCUGAAACAGAUUUCCUCGGUGACCUUGGGUGUAGACUUUCAGUGCCUUGUUCUGCGUCUGGAACUUAAGGAGGAUGUGACCUACUUUUUCCCUGUCUCAUUGAAAUGUGAUCAAGAUUAAUGGCCUAACGUAGAAAAUAUUUCCAGUGACAUGAAAGACCAGACUCAUUAUUCAAUGCCUGAAUUAAUAAAUCUGGUAAAAAUCAGUCUAAUUCACUUAAUUCAGGAAAAAUACUUGCUUAAAACCAUGUAAUUUUAGAACUGGGUGUGUAUAAAAAUGAUCUCAUCAGAAUUUUUCAAAAUGUCCCUCAGAUUGAUGGUGAAGUCAGAUUGAGAGAACUGGGCUGCAUCUUAGAGGACACAGACUGAGAACCAUGCACAGUAUUAACGAGGUCACAUAGCUCUGCAUCCGUCUUGCAGGGGUUCACGGACUGCAGCUCUCCGGGGCCACACUAUCAGGUCAAGCUGGGCUUACAACAG